GCACCCGUAGCUCAGCUGGAUAGAGCGCUGCCCUCCGAAGGCAGAGGUCAGAGGUUCGAAUCCUCUCGGGUGCACCA
This 77-nucleotide transfer RNA is filed under the name Rhodospirillaceae bacterium. RNAcentral's name for it is "tRNA-Arg". It matches the Rfam family "tRNA". Rfam says of the family: Transfer RNA (tRNA) molecules are approximately 80 nucleotides in length. Their secondary structure includes four short double-helical elements and three loops (D, anti-codon, and T loops). RNAcentral also lists the same sequence under 7 other names. Lineage: Bacteria; Pseudomonadati; Pseudomonadota; Alphaproteobacteria; Rhodospirillales; Rhodospirillaceae. The record is from RNAcentral.